RNAcentral lists this ribosomal RNA (492 nucleotides) under uncultured soil bacterium. RNAcentral's name for it is "bacterial SSU rRNA". It matches the Rfam family "Bacterial small subunit ribosomal RNA", at positions 26 to 507 of the family's 1533-position model. The record is from RNAcentral.
AGAGUGAACGCUGGCGGCAGGCCUAAUACAUGCAAGUCGAACGGCAGCACGGCAGAGCUUGCUCUGUGGGUGGCGAGUGGCGGACGGGUGAGGAAUACAUGGGAAUCUGCCCAGUCGUGGGGGAUAACGUAUGGAAACGUACGCUAAUACCGCAUGCGCCCUUCGGGGGAAAGCCGGGGACCUUCGGGCCUGGCGCGAUUGGAUGAGCCCAUGUCGGAUUAGCUAGUUGGCGGGUAACGGCCCACCAAGGCGACGAUCCGUAGCUGGUCUGAGAGGAUGAUCAGCCACACUGGAACUGAGACACGGUCCAGACUCCUACGGGAGGCAGCAGUAGGGAAUAUUGGACAAUGGGCGCAAGCCUGAUCCAGCCAUGCCGCGUGUGUGAAGAAGGCCUUCGGUGUAAAGCACUUUCGUACGGAAAGAAAAGACGCUGGUAACACCUACGGUGUCCGUGACGGUACCGGAAGAAAUAAGACACCGCUAACGUUCGUG